ACCGCUGAAGUGACCCCU
This 18-nucleotide small nuclear RNA is filed under the name Arabidopsis thaliana (thale cress). Its description in RNAcentral is "snRNA_00575". The record is from RNAcentral. Lineage: Eukaryota; Viridiplantae; Streptophyta; Magnoliopsida; Brassicales; Brassicaceae.